CAAAUGAAUUGACGGGGCCCGCACAAGCGGUGGAGUAUGUGGUUUAAUUCGAUGCAACGCGAAGAACCUUACCUGGUCUUGACAUCCCGGAGACCCUUAGGAAACUAGGGGGUGCUUCCAUCUGGAAGAAUCUGGAGACAGGUGCUGCAUGGCUGUCGUCAGCUCGUGUCGUGAGAUGUUGGGUUAAGUCCCGCAACGAGCGCAACCCUUGCCUUUAGUUGCCAGCAGUUCGGCUGGGCACUCUAAAGGGACUGCCGGUGUUAAACCGGAGGAAGGUGGGGAUGACGUCAAGUCCUCAUGGCCUUUAUGACCAGGGCUACACACGUACUACAAUGGCCGAUACAAAGGGCAGCGACACUGCGAGGUGAAGCCAAUCCCGUAAAAUCGGUCUCAGUCCGGAUUGGAGUCUGCAACUCGACUCCAUGAAGUUGGAAUCGCUAGUAAUCGUGGAUCAGCAUGCCACGGUGAAUACGUUCCCGGGCCUU
Molecule: ribosomal RNA, 485 nt
Filed under: uncultured Desulfobulbus sp.
Lineage: Bacteria; Pseudomonadati; Thermodesulfobacteriota; Desulfobulbia; Desulfobulbales; Desulfobulbaceae
Description: bacterial SSU rRNA
Rfam family: Bacterial small subunit ribosomal RNA
Source: RNAcentral